UACGUAGGUGGCGAGCGUUAUCCGGAAUGAUUGGGCGUAAAGGGUGCGCAGGCGGUCUGUUAAGUCAGCGGUCAAAGCCCGGGGCUCAACCCCGGCCCGCCGUUGAAACUGACGGUCUUGAGUGGGCGAGAAGUAUGCGGAAUGCGUGGUGUAGCGGUGAAAUGCAUAGAUAUCACGCAGAACUCCGAUUGCGAAGGCAGCAUACCGGCGCCCAACUGACGCUGAAGCACGAAAGCGUGGGUAUCGAACAGG
Molecule: ribosomal RNA, 252 nt
Filed under: uncultured Bacteroidales bacterium
Lineage: Bacteria; Pseudomonadati; Bacteroidota; Bacteroidia; Bacteroidales
Description: partial 16S ribosomal RNA
Rfam family: Bacterial small subunit ribosomal RNA
Source: RNAcentral